This 253-nucleotide ribosomal RNA is filed under the name uncultured bacterium. Its description in RNAcentral is "partial 16S ribosomal RNA". It matches the Rfam family "Bacterial small subunit ribosomal RNA", at positions 524 to 776 of the family's 1533-position model. The record is from RNAcentral.
UACAGAGGUGGCAAGCGUUGUUCGGAAUUACUGGGCGUAAAGGGCGCGUAGGCGGCCGCCUAAGUCAGACGUGAAAUCCCCAGGCUUAACCUGGGAACUGCGUCUGAUACUGGGUGGCUUGAGUUCGGGAGAGGAAUGUGGAAUUCCAGGUGUAGCGGUGAAAUGCGUAGAUAUCUGGAGGAACACCGGUGGCGAAGGCGGCAUUCUGGACCGAAACUGACGCUGAGGCGCGAAAGCCAGGGGAGCAAACGGG